GUAGCUAUAUCACAUUGAAACACCGAUUCUCGUACGAUUACCGAAGUUAAGCCACGUGGAACCUGGUCAGUACCUAGAUAGGUGAACACUUGGGAAUACCAGGUGCCGUAUG
This is a non-coding RNA of Acanthosepion pharaonis, 112 nucleotides long. Lineage: Eukaryota; Metazoa; Mollusca; Cephalopoda; Sepiida; Sepiidae. The record is from the annotation of a GenBank genome assembly.